RNAcentral lists this unclassified non-coding RNA (2866 nucleotides) under Hevea brasiliensis (rubber tree). Lineage: Eukaryota; Viridiplantae; Streptophyta; Magnoliopsida; Malpighiales; Euphorbiaceae. The record is from RNAcentral.
CAAUUUCGUGUUAUUGUUCCUCAAAUCACAAUCCUAGUCGUUUACUGUACUUUAUGCUUCCAAGAAAGCGGCCUGUUGACUGCGUGCUUGUAGAAGGAGAAGAAGAGAACGGAAGCAAAACAGCAGGUUCUACCUCGAUUAAGAAGCAUCGGUUCGGUUGCGUUUUGGAAUCAACGGAAAACGCUACAACUACCACCAACAACAUCAACACUAGCAUCGUUGGCAACAACAGCGACAACAGUAGUAGCGAUUUGAUUAUGGCGCCUGGUGAUGCAAAUCUGGGUGAUAUUGAUGAGGAUCUGCACAGCCGGCAACUUGCUGUGUAUGGCCGUGAAACCAUGCGGCGGCUUUUUGCCUCCAAUGUCCUAGUCUCGGGCAUGCAAGGUCUUGGUGCUGAGAUUGCUAAAAACCUUAUUCUUGCUGGGGUCAAGUCUAUAGCAUUGCACGAUGAAGGGGAGGUUGAGCUGUGGGAUUUAUCCGGUAAUUUUGUUUUUUCUGAGAAAGAUGUUGGAAAGAACAGGGCAUUAGCUUCUGUUCAGAAGUUGCAGGAACUCAAUAAUGCAGUGGUUGUUUCGACCUUAACUACGGAACUAACAAAAGAGAAACUUUCUGAUUUCCAGGCUGUUGUUUUUACUGAUAUCAAUCUUAAGAAGGCCAUUGAGUUUAAUGACUACUGCCAUAGUCAUAAGCCGCCUAUCUCUUUCAUUAAGGCUGAAGUUAGAGGUCUUUUUGGUUCUGUGUUUUGUGACUUUGGACCUGAAUUCACAGUUUUUGAUGUUGAUGGAGAGGAUCCACACACGGGUAUAAUUGCAUCCAUCAGCAAUGACAACCCUGCUCUAGUAUCAUGUGUGGAUGAUGAGAGGCUUGAGUUUGAGGAUGGGGAUCUUGUUGUAUUCUCUGAAGUUCAUGGAAUGACAGAGCUAAAUGAUGGAAAGCCAAGGAAGAUUAAAAAUGCUAGGCCAUAUUCCUUUACUCUUGACGAGGAUACCUUAAAAUUUGGUACCUAUGAGAAAGGUGGCAUUGUAACACAGGUAAAACAACCCAAGAUGUUGAACUUUAAGCCACUGAAGGAAGCACUUAAAGAUCCUGGUGAUUUUCUUUUGAGCGAUUAUUCCAAGUUUGAUCGCCCAACUCUCCUACAUCUAGCAUUUCAGGCACUGGAUAAGUUUUUGUCAGAAUUAGGUCGGUUCCCUGUUGCUGGUUCAGAAGAGGAUGCUCAGAAGCUUAUAACUUUGACUGCUAACAUCAAUGAACGCUUGGAAGAUGGAAGAGUGGAGGACAUUGAUCCAAAACUUCUUAGACAUUUUGCCUUUGGUGCCAGGGCUGUGCUGAAUCCCAUGGCUGCUAUGUUUGGUGGCAUUGUGGGACAAGAGGUUGUCAAAGCAUGUUCUGGAAAAUUUCAUCCUCUCUUUCAGUUUUUCUAUUUUGACUCGUUGGAGUCACUUCCUACGGAGAAUUUGGAUCCCAGUGCUUUUCAACCAUUAAAUAGCCGUUUUGAUGCACAAAUUUCAGUUUUUGGAUCUAAGCUCCAGAAGAAAUUAGAGGAUGCCAAUGUGUUCAUUGUAGGAUCUGGUGCAUUAGGCUGUGAAUUCUUGAAAAAUGUAGCAUUAAUGGGUGUUUCAUGUGGGAAAGAAGGAAGGUUGACAAUAACUGAUGAUGAUGUGAUAGAGAAAAGUAACUUAAGUAGGCAGUUUCUCUUCCGUGAUUGGAACAUUGGGCAGGCCAAAUCCACAGUUGCUGCUGCUGCUGCUGCAUCAAUAAAUCCUAGUCUCAACAUUGAAGCAUUGCAAAAUCGUGUGGGCCCUGAAACUGAGAAUGUAUUUGAUGAUACAUUUUGGGAGAAUUUAACUGUUGUCAUAAAUGCUUUAGACAAUGUAAAUGCAAGAUUAUAUGUUGAUCAAAGAUGCUUGUACUUCCAGAAGCCACUCCUUGAGUCUGGAACCCUGGGUGCCAAAUGCAACACCCAGAUGGUCAUUCCUCACCUGACUGAAAACUAUGGUGCCUCUAGAGAUCCACCUGAGAAGCAAGCACCCAUGUGCACAGUCCAUUCAUUCCCCCACAAUAUUGACCACUGCUUGACAUGGGCUCGGUCAGAGUUUGAAGGUUUGCUUGAGAAAACUCCAGCAGAAGUGAAUGCCUAUCUAUCCAACCCGGUUGAAUAUGCUACUGCUAUGGCUAAUGCCGGUGAUGCUCUGGCCAGGGAUACCUUGGAACGUGUUCUUGAGUGUCUUGACAAGGAAAAGUGUGAGACAUUCCAAGAUUGCAUUACAUGGGCUCGAUUAAAGUUUGAAGAUUAUUUUGCUAAUCGUGUGAAGCAGUUGAUUUAUACAUUUCCCGAAGAUGCUGCAACUAGUACUGGGACACCAUUCUGGUCUGCUCCAAAGCGGUUUCCUCAUCCACUUGAGUUCUCAGCUUCUGAUCCUGGUCACCUCCAUUUUGUCAUGUCAGCAUCCAUACUUCGAGCAGUGUCUUUUGGCAUUCCAGUUCCUGACUGGGUCAAGAAUCCUAAGAUGUUGGCUGAGGCUGUUGAGAAGGUCAUAGUACCAGAAUUUCAACCAAAGAAAGAUGUGAAAAUUGUGACGGAUGAAAAGGCUACUAGUCUUGCUACUGCAUCUGCAGAUGAUAUUGUUAUUAUCAAUGAACUAAUCAAGAGAUUAGAGCAGUGCAGGAAGAAUUUGCCACCAGGAUACAGGAUGAAGCCAAUUCAGUUUGAGAAGGAUGAUGAUACAAACUUCCAUAUGGAUGUGAUAGCUGCGCUUGCCAACAUGAGAGCAAGAAACUACAGCAUUCCUGAGGUUGAUAAGCUGAAAGCCAAGUUUAUUGCAGGAAGGAUCAUUCCUGCCAUUGCUGUCGAGGUUGCAAUAGC